GGUUUGAUCAUGGCUCAGAUUGAACGCUGGCGGCAUGCUUUACACAUGCAAGUCGAACGGCAGCACGAGUGCUUUGCACUUGGUGGCGAGUGGCGAACGGGUGAGUAAUACAUCGGAACGUGUCUUAAAGUGGGGGAUAACGCAUCGAAAGAUGUGCUAAUACCGCAUAAUCUCUAAGGAGAAAAGUAGGGGAUCGAAAGACCUUACGCUUUNGGAGCGGCCGAUGUCUGAUUAGCUAGUUGGUAGGGUAAAGGCUUACCAAGGCAACGAUCAGUAGUUGGUCUGAGAGGAUGGCCAACCACACUGGGACUGAGACACGGCCCAGACUCCUACGGAAGGCAGCAG
Molecule: ribosomal RNA, 345 nt
Filed under: uncultured Nitrosomonas sp.
Lineage: Bacteria; Pseudomonadati; Pseudomonadota; Betaproteobacteria; Nitrosomonadales; Nitrosomonadaceae
Description: bacterial SSU rRNA
Rfam family: Bacterial small subunit ribosomal RNA
Source: RNAcentral